GUGUCUGGUGGGUAGUUUGACUGGGGCGGUCUCCUCCUAAAGAGUAACGGAGGAGCACGAAGGUUGGCUAAUCCUGGUCGGACAUCAGGAGGUUAGUGCAAUGGCAUAAGCCAGCUUGACUGCGAGCGUGACGGCGCGAGCAGGUGCGAAAGCAGGUCAUAGUGAUCCGGUGGUUCUGAAUGGAAGGGCCAUCGCUCAACGGAUAAAAGGUACUCCGGGGAUAACAGGCUGAUACCGCCCAAGAGUUCAUAUCGACGGCGGUGUUUGGCACCUCGAUGUCGGCUCAUCACAUCCUGGGGCUGAAGUAGGUCCCAAGGGUAUGGCUGUUCGCCAUUUAAAGUGGUACGCGAGCUGGGUUUAGAACGUCGUGAGACAGUUCGGUCCCUAUCUGCCGUGGGCGCUGGAGAACUGAGGGGGGCUGCUCCUAGUACGAGAGGACCGGAGUGGACGCAUCACUGGUGUUCGGGUUG
This 470-nucleotide ribosomal RNA is filed under the name Salmonella enterica. Its description in RNAcentral is "partial 23S ribosomal RNA". It matches the Rfam family "Bacterial large subunit ribosomal RNA", at positions 2254 to 2723 of the family's 2925-position model. Lineage: Bacteria; Pseudomonadati; Pseudomonadota; Gammaproteobacteria; Enterobacterales; Enterobacteriaceae. The record is from RNAcentral.